AGUUGAACGAACCCUUCGGGGUGAGUAGCGCACGGGUGCGUAACACGUGGGAAUAUACCCUUAGGUGCGGAACAACGUUUGGAAACGAACGCUAAUACCGCAUAAUAUCUUCGGAUCAAAGAUUUAUCGCCUAAGGAUUAGCCCGCGUCGGAUUAGAUUGUUGGUGAGGUAAUGGCUCACCAAGUCGACGAUCCGUAGCUGGUCUGAGAGGAUGAUCAGCCACACUGGGACUGAGACACGGCCCAGACUCC
RNAcentral lists this ribosomal RNA (251 nucleotides) under uncultured bacterium. RNAcentral describes it as "partial 16S ribosomal RNA". It matches the Rfam family "Bacterial small subunit ribosomal RNA", at positions 60 to 339 of the family's 1533-position model. The record is from RNAcentral.